UGGGCGUAACGUGCAAUAAACCAAUCAGAGCGUCAUCUCACAUUCCCUUUAAAAACAGGUGCGCUUGUUCCAUGGCGGAUUGCUAUUAUGACGGCGGAUUUGCCUGGCGCACGCCAGCGGGAGCUGUCCGGAAUGCGG
Long non-coding RNA from Sander lucioperca (pikeperch), 138 nucleotides. RefSeq lists it as uncharacterized. The record is from RefSeq and is a predicted model, not a curated record. Lineage: Eukaryota; Metazoa; Chordata; Actinopteri; Perciformes; Percidae. The transcript is spliced from 2 exons.